GCCAUGGGGAAUUUGUGAGCAUCCCCACCGUUGAGAAAUGAUGCCCCCUUUGACCUACAGCUGAGGUCUUCUCUGUCUUUGUGGCUGCAGGAAAGAAGCAAGAAAAUCGUGAAAUGCCUGUAAAGAGAACGUUUCACCAGGGCCACUUCUACCCACUUUUGGAGGGAGAGUGACGUCCUUUGAGAUAUACCUCCGAGUACCACGUUCUGUCUCAGAAUUCCCAUGCUGAGUACUCCAAGGUCACUAGGUUCUGCGCCAGUGAAGCUGACCUCCACAGGGACAGCUUUGCAGGCUUCACUGGCCCCAGGGUGUUCUCUUAUCAAGAUUUUCAUUGGAUGGCUCCUGUCAUUCUGCUGUUUCUAGACCAACACAUAUCAGGCUUCUCCAUAUUGCACGUGUGGCACCUCUGCACUGGCAGUGUGAUUAUAUUGUCUCCUGUGAAUUUCUGUUCUUCUGCCCGAAUCGAGUAGACAGGGUCUCCCAGAAACAGCCUGGCUGUGGAAUGGCUUACUUGUGGAGAGAGGGCUACUCUGGAUUGAUGAUGACAACAACUACCUGAGGACGCUGAGUGUCUCAUAACAAAUGGCAAUCUGAGGUCCAGACGUGUAGCCUUUGUGGAGACGACUAAGAUUCUCACAGCCUGGCAUUGCCUGGGUUCUCCUGCCAGGCAGUUUGUACACACAUUGUUCAGGCUUCUGCUUACAGGGCUGUGAGGCCUCGGCAUCAAUUCUAUGUUCACGGACCGAGAAUGCUGGCCUUUCUUUCUCUCCUUUGCCACUCAGCUCUGGAAAUGUGGAGAGGCU
This 803-nucleotide long non-coding RNA is filed under the name Nannospalax galili (Upper Galilee mountains blind mole rat). Its description in RNAcentral is "lncRNA (ENSNGAG00000024405.1)". The stretch from base 533 to 599 matches the Rfam family "Small nucleolar RNA SNORD109A". Lineage: Eukaryota; Metazoa; Chordata; Mammalia; Rodentia; Spalacidae. The record is from RNAcentral.